AAGAUAUUAGAANAAUCAUUUCAUAGCUUCGUCAAAGCUGAAUCAUAGGCCAAAUCCUAUAUAUCUUA
RNAcentral lists this transfer RNA (68 nucleotides) under Macaca fascicularis (crab-eating macaque). Its description in RNAcentral is "tRNA-Asp". The record is from RNAcentral. Lineage: Eukaryota; Metazoa; Chordata; Mammalia; Primates; Cercopithecidae.